RNAcentral lists this unclassified non-coding RNA (2032 nucleotides) under Hevea brasiliensis (rubber tree). The record is from RNAcentral. Lineage: Eukaryota; Viridiplantae; Streptophyta; Magnoliopsida; Malpighiales; Euphorbiaceae.
AAACAAAUUUUCAAGAAUUGGGCUUAUUUGAAUCUCAAUAAUCCUCUCAAACAACAGCAAAAAAUAUUGAAUUUGGAUUUAGGAUUGGGGAAUUUCAGGAAGAUAUCUAUGAAAUACUAAUUUUCUCCUGCAAAAUGUUAGGCCCUUUUACUGAUUUUGCUCCUUUCUUUGUACCCUUUUCAAAACCCAUGUCUCAUCUUUCUCUCAUCGGCGGUAAUCAUACAUCUGCACGUUUCUGUUCCCGGUAACCCAUUCUUUUCAUUAAAUCCAUCUCCUCUCCUCUCCAAUCUUUACCCAUUCUUUUUUCGUCGAAAUACUUACAAAAAGUUCGUUGUAGAUAUUCAUUUCUGAAAACUAAAAGGAGUCAUUUUGAUGGAUCAUAGUACGGGGAAACCGGGUUUUUUUAGGAAUGUUUUGGUACGUUUAUGCCUGUUUUGUGUUGUGAUUGUCUGUUGUCGGUUUGCUUAUGUGGUGACUCUCAAAGGGGAAACUUGUGACCUCGGCGAUUUCUGUUUCUUCUCUUUACCGGAAAAUGUCAAUGUUAUUGCCGGCGUCGGAAAGCUCACUGAGUCUGUAUCAGCGGUUAUGACUACCGAGAAUGCCGUAAAAUCUGCUCCCGCGAAGCCCAAACUUCCCGAUCUAUGGGCAAACAAGGAGUUUCAAAAAUCAGCCCAGUUUUACUCUUCGGUGUUUGAGGAUCUUGUUGCAGAGGGUUUUUUGAGCCCAAAUUCAAAAACUCUUUGCGUUGAAACACCGAUGGGUUCUGAUGUUUUUGCGUUGAGGGAAAUUGGGGUAGCCGAUUCCGUUGGGAUUUACAAGAAAGGUUCAAAGCCUUUAGUGAUUACAGGCAAAGCUGUUAAACAACCCUUUGAAGAUGAUACGUUUGAUUUAAUAUUUUCCGGUGCCGGAAUGAUAGACAAGUCACUUAAGCCGGGAGAUUUCGCGGCGGAGAUUUGCCGGACUCUAAAACCCGAAGGGUAUUUAGUUGUCCAUACAGGUUCUAAUGAUACAUACAGUUUCAAUUCAUUCCUUCAUUUGUUCAAUUGUUGUACAUUAAUUAAGUCUAGGAAUAUUGAUGGUUUUGAUUCGACUAUUCGUGAGAUCAUCAUGAAAAAGGAUAUAUUUGUUGAAGAAAAAGUGAGUGAUUCCAAGAACAAUUGUGGUCAUGUUCCUGAUUAUAAAAUGAAACUGAUUAGAAAAGCUGAGCCUUUGAUUAAAGAGGAACCUAAGAAACCAUGGAUUACACUUAAGAAGAAUGCACAGAGCAUUAAGUACUUGUCAUCCAUGGCGGAUAUUAGUUUUAAGCAGAGAUACGUGUAUGUUGAUGUUGGUUCGAGGAGUUAUGGUUCAAGCAUUGUUAGUUGGUUCAAGAAACAGUAUCCUAAGCAAAACAAGACCUUUGAUAUAUAUGCUGUUGAGGCUGACAAGACAUUCCAUGGGCAGUAUAAGGAGAAGAAAGGGGUUACAUUGUUGCCAUAUGCAGCUUGGGUUAGGAAUGAGACAUUAUCGUUUGAGAUUAAUCAAGAUCCGGGUCAUAAAGAUGUGUCGAAAGGAAGAGGAAUGGGAAGAAUUCAACCUGUUGAAUCUUCUAGUGAAGGUGCAAGUGAGGUGGAUUUAAUCCAAGGUUUUGACUUUGCCGAGUGGUUGAUGAGCGCGGUAUCAGAGAAGGAUUACGUGGUGAUGAAGAUGGAUGUUGAAGGGACCGAAUUUGAUUUGAUCCCGAGAUUGAUUGAAACGGGGGCGAUAUGCUUGAUUGAUGAAGUAUUUCUUGAGUGCCAUUACAAUAGGUGGCAGAAAUGCUGCCCUGGGGAGAGGUCUUCAAAGUAUCCGAAUACGUAUAGCCAGUGUUUGGAUCUCUUCACUUCUCUAAGAGAAAGUGGAGUUCUUGUUCAUCAAUGGUGGUAAUACAGUCUAGCUCUUUAGUCUUUUUUGUUAUACAAGAGGCCAAAAAAUUCUCUCUUUUACUUCAUAUGUAUCUACUGUUUGCCCCAAUAUAAAGAAUUACGUUCAAUGUGUUUGCUUCUACAACAAC